UACGUAGGGGGCGAGCGUUGUCCGGAAUCAUUGGGCGUAAAGCGCGCGUAGGUGGCCCUGUAAGUCCGCUGUGAAAGUCAAAGGCUCAACCUUUGAAAGCCGGUGGAUACUGCAGGGCUAGAGUACGGAAGAGGCGAGUGGAAUUCCUGGUGUAGCGGUGGAAUGCGCAGAUAUCAGGAGGAACACCGGUGGCGAAGGCGGGAUCCUGGGCCAGUACUGACGCUGAGGAGCGAAAGCGUGGGGAGCAAACAGG
This 253-nucleotide ribosomal RNA is filed under the name uncultured bacterium. RNAcentral's name for it is "partial 16S ribosomal RNA". It matches the Rfam family "Bacterial small subunit ribosomal RNA", at positions 524 to 776 of the family's 1533-position model. The record is from RNAcentral.